CGGACGGGUGAGUAAUACAUAGGAAUCUGCCCAGUAGCGGGGGACAACUCGGAGAAAUCCGAGCUAAUACCGCAUACGCCCUACGGGGGAAAGCAGGGGAUCUUCGGACCUUGCACUAUUGGAUGAGCCUAUGUCGGAUUAGCUUGUUGGUGGGGUAAAGGCCUACCAAGGCAACGAUCUGUAGCUGGUCUGAGAGGACGAUCAGCCACACUGGGACUGAGACACGGCCCAG
RNAcentral lists this ribosomal RNA (232 nucleotides) under uncultured bacterium. RNAcentral describes it as "partial 16S ribosomal RNA". It matches the Rfam family "Bacterial small subunit ribosomal RNA", at positions 99 to 334 of the family's 1533-position model. The record is from RNAcentral.